This 83-nucleotide non-coding RNA is filed under the name Nitrosomonas oligotropha. The record is from RNAcentral. Lineage: Bacteria; Pseudomonadati; Pseudomonadota; Betaproteobacteria; Nitrosomonadales; Nitrosomonadaceae.
UCUUAUGGCGGGCCGGGCGGGGAAACCGAAAGGUUUGCCGGUGCCUCACCGGAUUUGCAGCCCCGUUUCGGUCUGCCACCAUU